Molecule: ribosomal RNA, 694 nt
Filed under: Rhagoletis almatensis
Lineage: Eukaryota; Metazoa; Arthropoda; Insecta; Diptera; Tephritidae
Description: partial 28S ribosomal RNA
Rfam family: Eukaryotic large subunit ribosomal RNA
Source: RNAcentral
CUAGUAGCUGGUUCCCUCCGAAGUUUCCCUCAGGAUAGCUGGUGCAUUUUAAAAUUAUGUUAAAUAAUCUUAUCUGGUAAAGCGAAUGAUUAGAGGCCUUAGGGUCGAAACGACCUUAACCUAUUCUCAAACUUUAAAUGGGUAAGAACCUCACCUUUCUUGAUAUGAAGGUUGAGGUUAUGAUAUAAUGUGCCCAGUGGGCCACUUUUGGUAAGCAGAACUGGCGCUGUGGGAUGAACCAAACGUAAUGUUACGGUGCCUAAAUUAACAACUCAUGCAGAUACCAUGAAAGGCGUUGGUUGCUUAAAACAGCAGGACGGUGGACAUGGAAGUCGUAAUCCGCUAAGGAGUGUGUAACAACUCACCUGCCGAAGCAACUAGCCCUUAAAAUGGAUGGCGCUUAAGUUGUAUACCUAUACAUUACCGCUAAAGUACAUGAUUUAUAAUACAAUUUCGGUUGUUUUUAUAAAUUUUGAAACUUUAGUGAGUAGGAGGGUACAAUGGUGUGCUUAGAAGUGUUUGGCGUAAGCCUGCAUGGAGCCGCCAUUGGUACAGAUCUUGGUGGUAGUAGCAAAUAAUCGAAUGAGACCUUGGAGGACUGAAGUGGAGAAGGGUUUCGUGUGAACAGUGGUUGAUCACGAGUUAGUCGGUCCUAAGUUCAAGGCGAAAGCCGAAAAUUUUCAAGUUUUAAUGA